Cercocebus atys (sooty mangabey) is the source of this 815-nucleotide long non-coding RNA. RefSeq lists it as uncharacterized. The record is from RefSeq and is a predicted model, not a curated record. The transcript has 4 exons. NCBI's taxonomy places the organism in Eukaryota, Metazoa, Chordata, Mammalia, Primates, Cercopithecidae.
UGGGUGGUCUACAUUAGUGUGCGUUUUUCAUUAGAUUAUUGUCAGUCAUUUAAAAUUUUUCAUUAAAAUGCACAGUUGUUAUUUAAAUGCAUUUGUAUUUAUUAGGGCAAGUGUGGUCUUGGAGAGAUGGUGACUAUGGGAAAUUGGGCAGAGGUGGUAGUGAUGGCUGCAAAACCCCAAAGCUGAUUGAAAAGCUUCAAGACUUGGAUGUGGUCAGAGUCUGCUGUUGAAGUCAGUUUUCCAUUCCUUUGACGAAAGAUGGCCAAGUUUAUUCAUGGGGAAAAGGUGACAACCAGAGACUUGGACACGGACCAGAGGGACAUGUUCGUUAUCCAAAACUCUUAGAAGGCUUGCGAGGGAAGAAGGUGAUUGAUGUGGCUGCCGGCUCCACCCACUGCCUGGCUCUGACUGAGGACAGCGAGGUCCACAGCUCGGGGAGCAACGACCAGUGCCAGCACUUUGACACCUUGCACGUGACCAAGCCAGAACCUGCAGCAUUGCCCGGACUGCACACCAAACACACAGUGGGAAUUGCCUGUGGGCCUGCCCAGGAGGAUUUUCCUGGUUUGUGGCGCUCAGACAUUGCUUUACUUAUCUACAUGGUCUGAUUUGUACGUGUCGAGUUUUCCGUGGUGACGUCUGUGAGGCCGGCAGUGAUGUCCCUUCAUUCAUUCCUGAUACUGACCACAGAGUAUUCAGCCAUGGCCUCGCUGGCUGGUGGGCUGGACGACAUGAAGGCCAAUCUGGCCAGCCCCACACCUGCUGACAUCGGGAGCAGUGUGCCAGGCCCGCAGUCCUACCCCAUUGUGACAGGU